AGUGAACGCUGGCGGCGUGCCUAACACAUGCAAGUCGAACGAGAAAAUCCUCUUCGGAGGAUAAGUAGAGUGGCAGACGGGUGAGUAAUACAUAGGUAAUCUACCCUUGAGUGGGGGACAACUUACCGAAAGGUGAGCUAAUCCCGCAUGACAUCGCGAUACAUAAGUGUUGUGAUUAAAGGGGGGGAUCCCUUCGGGGACCUCUCGCUUGAGGAUGAGCUUAUGUCCUAUUAGCUUGUUGGUAGGGUAAUGGCCUACCAAGGCUCUGAUGGGUAGCCGAGCUGAGAGGCUGAUCGGCCACACUGGAACUGAUACACGGUCCAGACUCCUACGGGAGGCAGCAGUGGGGAAUUUUGCGCAAUGGGCGAAAGCCUGACGCAGCGACGCCGCGUGAGGGAUGAAGGUCUUCGUGAUCGUAAACCUCUGUC
RNAcentral lists this ribosomal RNA (428 nucleotides) under uncultured bacterium. Its description in RNAcentral is "bacterial SSU rRNA". It matches the Rfam family "Bacterial small subunit ribosomal RNA", at positions 29 to 437 of the family's 1533-position model. The record is from RNAcentral.